UUUGAUCAUGGCUCAGGAUGAACGCUGGCGGCGUGCUUAACACAUGCAAGUCGAACGAUGAUCUCCAGCUUGCUGGGGGGAUUAGUGGCGAACGGGUGAGUAACACGUGAGUAACCUGCCCUUAACUCUGGGAUAAGCCUGGGAAACUGGGUCUAAUACCGGAUAUGACUCCUCAUCGCAUGGUGGGGGGUGGAAAGCUUUUUGUGGUUUUGGAUGGACUCGCGGCCUAUCAGCUUGUUGGUGAGGUAAUGGCUCACCAAGGCGACGACGGGUAGCCGGCCUGAGAGGGUGACCGGCCACACUGGGACUGAGACACGGCCCAGACUCCUACGGGAGGCAGCAGUGGGGAAUAUUGCACAAUGGGCGCAAGCCUGAUGCAGCGACGCCGCGUGAGGGAUGACGGCCUUCGGGUUGUAAACCUCUUUCAGUAGGGAAGAAGCGAAAGUGACGGUACCUGCAGAAGAAGCGCCGGCUAACUACGUGCCAGCAGCCGCGG
This 496-nucleotide ribosomal RNA is filed under the name Arthrobacter sp. AQ19. RNAcentral's name for it is "bacterial SSU rRNA". It matches the Rfam family "Bacterial small subunit ribosomal RNA", at positions 12 to 520 of the family's 1533-position model. The record is from RNAcentral. Lineage: Bacteria; Bacillati; Actinomycetota; Actinomycetes; Micrococcales; Micrococcaceae.